AAAUUGAAGAGUUUGAUCAUGGCUCAGAUUGAACGCUGGCGGCAGGCCUAACACAUGCAAGUCGAACGGUAACAGGAAGCAGCUUGCUGUUUCGCUGACGAGUGGCGGACGGGUGAGUAAUGUCUGGGAAACUGCCUGAUGGAGGGGGAUAACUACUGGAAACGGUAGCUAAUACCGCAUAACGUCGCAAGACCAAAGAGGGGGACCUUCGGGCCUCUUGCCAUCGGAUGUGCCCAGAUGGGAUUAGCUAGUAGGUGGGGUAACGGCUCACCUAGGCGACGAUCCCUAGCUGGUCUGA
This 298-nucleotide ribosomal RNA is filed under the name Shigella flexneri. RNAcentral describes it as "partial 16S ribosomal RNA". It matches the Rfam family "Bacterial small subunit ribosomal RNA", at positions 1 to 295 of the family's 1533-position model. The record is from RNAcentral. Lineage: Bacteria; Pseudomonadati; Pseudomonadota; Gammaproteobacteria; Enterobacterales; Enterobacteriaceae.